GGGGAGUACGGCCGCAAGGCUGAAACUUAAAGGAAUUGGCGGGGGAGCACCACAAGGGGUGGACGUUGCGGCUUAAUCGGAUUCAACGCCGGAAACCUUACCGGGGCUGACGGCAGGAUGAAGGUCGGGCUGACGACCCUACCUGACGAGCCGAGAGGAGGUGCAUGGCCGUCGCCGGUGCGUGCCGUGAGGUGUCCUGUUAAGUCAGGCAACGGACGAGACCCGCGCCCCCAGUUGCCAGCGGCCGAGAGGCGCCGGGCACUCUGGGGGGACUGCCCCCGAAAGGGGGAGGAAGGAGCGGGCUACGGCAGGUCGGUAUGCCCCGAAUGCCCCGGGCCGCACGCGACGUUCAAUGGCGGGGACAGCGGGAUGCGACCCCGAAAGGGGGAGCCAACCCCUAAACCCCGCCUCAGUAGGGAUCGAGGGUUGCAACUCGCCCUCGUGAACGCGGAAUCCCUAGUAACCGCGCGUUAACACCGCGCGGUGAAUACGUCCCCGCUCCUUGCACACACUGCCCAUCGCUCCACCCGAGCUGGGUUCGGGUGAGGCCCGCUCCCGUUGGGCGGGUCGAGCCCGAACCCGGUGAGGGGGGAGAAGUUGUAACAAGGUAGCCGCACCGGAAGGUGUGGCUGGAUCACCUCCC
This 643-nucleotide ribosomal RNA is filed under the name Candidatus Calditenuis fumarioli. Its description in RNAcentral is "bacterial SSU rRNA". It matches the Rfam family "Archaeal small subunit ribosomal RNA", at positions 830 to 1478 of the family's 1478-position model. The record is from RNAcentral. Lineage: Archaea; Thermoproteati; Nitrososphaerota; Candidatus Caldarchaeales; Candidatus Calditenuaceae.